UAUCCUGUCUGAAUAUGGGGGGACCAUCCUCCAAGGCUAAAUACUCCUGACUGACCGAUAGUGAACCAGUACCGUGAGGGAAAGGCGAAAAGAACCCCGGCGAGGGGAGUGAAAAAGAACCUGAAACCGUGUACGUACAAGCAGUGGGAGCACGCUUAGGCGUGUGACUGCGUACCUUUUGUAUAAUGGGUCAGCGACUUAUAUUCUGUAGCAAGGUUAACCGAAUAGGGGAGCCGAAGGGAAACCGAGUCUUAACUGGGCGUUAAGUUGCAGGGUAUAGACCCGAAACCCGGUGAUCUAGCCAUGGGCAGGUUGAAGGUUGGGUAACACUAACUGGAGGACCGAACCGACUAAUGUUGAAAAAUUAGCGGAUGACUUGUGGCUGGGGGUGAAAGGCCAAUCAAACCGGGAGAUAGCUGGUUCUCCCCGAAAGCUAUUUAGGUAGCGCCUCGUGAAUUCAUCUCCGGGGGUAGAGCACUGUUUCGGCAAGGGGGUCAUCCCGACUUACCAACCCGAUGCAAACUGCGAAUACCGGAGAAUGUUAUCACGGGAGACACACGGCGGGUGCUAACGUCCGUCGUGAAGAGGGAAACAACCCAGACCGCCAGCUAAGGUCCCAAAGUCAUGGUUAAGUGGGAAACGAUGUGGGAAGGCCCAGACAGCCAGGAUGUUGGCUUAGAAGCAGCCAUCAUUUAAAGAAAGCGUAAUAGCUCACUGGUCGAGUCGGCCUGCGCGGAAGAUGUAACGGGGCUAAACCAUG
RNAcentral lists this ribosomal RNA (760 nucleotides) under Escherichia coli. RNAcentral's name for it is "partial 23S ribosomal RNA". It matches the Rfam family "Bacterial large subunit ribosomal RNA", at positions 430 to 1191 of the family's 2925-position model. Lineage: Bacteria; Pseudomonadati; Pseudomonadota; Gammaproteobacteria; Enterobacterales; Enterobacteriaceae. The record is from RNAcentral.